AUAUCCCAUCAGCUAUGUAGUGCAAGGGCCUGCCUGACUUGAUACAAAUUGAAUGGAUUGUUCAGUAACCUUACUCAACAACACCCUUUGAGUCCCUGAGGAAGCUACAACUGUGAAACGCGUUGGUUUAUUCAUCAUCUUCCCUCCUCAUCUAUGUAUUGCAUAUACGUGGAAUAUUUGCUUUAUCUAUUAUUGUGAUUGGUUUAUGAGGGAUGAUGACACUUCAGGGUGGCUGAGAUGUUUGUAUCUUAUCUUUCAUGUAUUUUAGGUGAUUAUUUCCACAGAAACUUUUUAACAAUAAAUUGUAAUAAAAUUCUUGUUUUUAUCAAUA
This is a long non-coding RNA of Rana temporaria (common frog), 331 nucleotides long. RefSeq lists it as uncharacterized. The record is from RefSeq and is a predicted model, not a curated record. The transcript is spliced from 2 exons. Lineage: Eukaryota; Metazoa; Chordata; Amphibia; Anura; Ranidae.